CCGAGAGGCAUCUCAUCGGGGUUUAAAGGGUAAUACCGGCUACGGAUGGCCGUGCGGCGCAUUAGCUAGUUGGCGGGGUAACGGCCCACCAAGGCGAGGAUGCAUACGGGUUCUGAGAGGAAGGUCCGCCACACUGGUACUGAGACACGGACCAGACUCAUACGGGAGGCAGCAGUGAGGAAUAUUGGUCAAUGGGCGCGAGCCUGAUUUUUUUUUGUCGCGUGAGGGAAGACGGUCCUAUGUAUUGGAGGCCUCUUUUGUUUGUUUUUUUUUUACCCCCCCCCCGGCGUUCCGAGAGUACUUUAACAAAAAGCAUCGGCUAACUCCGUAAAAGCAGCCGCGGUAAUACGGAGGAUGCGAGCGUUAUCCGGAUUUACUGGGUUUAAAGGGUGCGCAGGCGGAAGAUCAAGUCAGCGGUAAAAUUGAGAGGCUCAACCUCUUCGAGCCGUUGAAACUGGUUUUCUUGAGUGAGCGAGAAGUAUGCGGAAUGCGUGGUGUAGCGGUGAAAUGCAUA
RNAcentral lists this ribosomal RNA (514 nucleotides) under uncultured bacterium. RNAcentral's name for it is "partial 16S ribosomal RNA". It matches the Rfam family "Bacterial small subunit ribosomal RNA", at positions 181 to 692 of the family's 1533-position model. The record is from RNAcentral.